AAUGUUACGAUGUGUACGGUUAUUCCUCACCUACACACAAAACUUUCGGGGCUCCACUUAGCAAAAUUUCGCUGUUACUUCCCGUUAGCAAAAAUAUUUUUUUACUGUUGAGUUAGCAAAAAGCUAAAUUUACUUGAUUUUAGUAAUAAAAAAAAGUCAUUUUACUUGAUUUUAGUAAAACGAAGGUUUUUCAGCCGCUUUGUUCACAGACACCAGCCGCCGCGCCAGUAGGGAGAAAAAUAAAAAGCUGUCGCGAUUAAGUGCGGUUCCGGAUGUUCGUUGCUGAUGGUUCUUGUGGUGGCAAACUCCACAACGAAAUGGUAGCUGAAUCGACACCGGAUGCUUACAGGGAUAAAACCGCAACAUGAAGCGCGCCACAGGCCGGUAAUGAAGAAGGACCACAACUGGAAAUUCAACAAGCUGCAUCCGGCAAACACCCCGGUGCUUUCUUUGACGAAGGUGGCAUGGCAUUUCGCUCGCCAGUAGGUGCGUUCCCAGAAUAGGAAAAAUGUGAAAAAAAUAUAAAAAAUGUGAAAAAUAAAUUAUAAGUGAAUGAAA
This is a long non-coding RNA of Uranotaenia lowii, 558 nucleotides long. RefSeq lists it as uncharacterized. NCBI's taxonomy places the organism in Eukaryota, Metazoa, Arthropoda, Insecta, Diptera, Culicidae. The transcript has 2 exons. The record is from RefSeq and is a predicted model, not a curated record.